Molecule: ribosomal RNA, 1704 nt
Filed under: Bacillus anthracis (anthrax bacterium)
Lineage: Bacteria; Bacillati; Bacillota; Bacilli; Caryophanales; Bacillaceae
Also listed under: 2 other names
Description: partial 23S ribosomal RNA
Rfam family: Bacterial large subunit ribosomal RNA
Source: RNAcentral
AAUGGUAUCAGUGGUAGGGGAGCGUUCUAAGGACAGUGAAGUCAGACCGGAAGGACUGGUGGAGUGCUUAGAAGUGAGAAUGCCGGUAUGAGUAGCGAAAGACGGGUGAGAAUCCCGUCCACCGAAUGCCUAAGGUUUCCUGAGGAAGGCUCGUCCGCUCAGGGUUAGUCAGGACCUAAGCCGAGGCCGACAGGCGUAGGCGAUGGACAACAGGUUGAUAUUCCUGUACCACCUCUUUAUCGUUUGAGCAAUGGAGGGACGCAGAAGGAUAGAAGAAGCGUGCGAUUGGUUGUGCACGUCCAAGCAGUUAGGCUGAUAAGUAGGCAAAUCCGCUUAUCGUGAAGGCUGAGCUGUGAUGGGGAAGCUCCUUAUGGAGCGAAGUCUUUGAUUCCCCGCUGCCAAGAAAAGCUUCUAGCGAGAUAAAAGGUGCCUGUACCGCAAACCGACACAGGUAGGCGAGGAGAGAAUCCUAAGGUGUGCGAGAGAACUCUGGUUAAGGAACUCGGCAAAAUGACCCCGUAACUUCGGGAGAAGGGGUGCUUUCUUAACGGAAAGCCGCAGUGAAUAGGCCCAAGCGACUGUUUAGCAAAAACACAGCUCUCUGCGAAGCCGUAAGGCGAAGUAUAGGGGGUGACACCUGCCCGGUGCUGGAAGGUUAAGGAGAGGGGUUAGCGUAAGCGAAGCUCUGAACUGAAGCCCCAGUAAACGGCGGCCGUAACUAUAACGGUCCUAAGGUAGCGAAAUUCCUUGUCGGGUAAGUUCCGACCCGCACGAAAGGUGUAACGAUUUGGGCACUGUCUCAACCAGAGACUCGGUGAAAUUAUAGUACCUGUGAAGAUGCAGGUUACCCGCGACAGGACGGAAAGACCCCGUGGAGCUUUACUGUAGCCUGAUAUUGAAUUUUGGUACAGUUUGUACAGGAUAGGCGGGAGCCUUUGAAACCGGAGCGCUAGCUUCGGUGGAGGCGCUGGUGGGAUACCGCCCUGACUGUAUUGAAAUUCUAACCUACGGGUCUUAUCGACCCGGGAGACAGUGUCAGGUGGGCAGUUUGACUGGGGCGGUCGCCUCCUAAAGUGUAACGGAGGCGCCCAAAGGUUCCCUCAGAAUGGUUGGAAAUCAUUCGUAGAGUGCAAAGGCAUAAGGGAGCUUGACUGCGAGACCUACAAGUCGAGCAGGGACGAAAGUCGGGCUUAGUGAUCCGGUGGUUCCGCAUGGAAGGGCCAUCGCUCAACGGAUAAAAGCUACCCCGGGGAUAACAGGCUUAUCUCCCCCAAGAGUCCACAUCGACGGGGAGGUUUGGCACCUCGAUGUCGGCUCAUCGCAUCCUGGGGCUGUAGUCGGUCCCAAGGGUUGGGCUGUUCGCCCAUUAAAGCGGUACGCGAGCUGGGUUCAGAACGUCGUGAGACAGUUCGGUCCCUAUCCGUCGUGGGCGUAGGAAAUUUGAGAGGAGCUGUCCUUAGUACGAGAGGACCGGGAUGGACGCACCGCUGGUGUACCAGUUGUUCUGCCAAGGGCAUAGCUGGGUAGCUAUGUGCGGAAGGGAUAAGUGCUGAAAGCAUCUAAGCAUGAAGCCCCCCUCAAGAUGAGAUUUCCCAUAGCGUAAGCUAGUAAGAUCCCUGAAAGAUGAUCAGGUUGAUAGGUUCGAGGUGGAAGCAUGGUGACAUGUGGAGCUGACGAAUACUAAUAGAUCGAGGACUUAACCAU